Molecule: small RNA, 318 nt
Filed under: Saccharomyces cerevisiae (brewer's yeast)
Lineage: Eukaryota; Fungi; Ascomycota; Saccharomycetes; Saccharomycetales; Saccharomycetaceae
Description: YIL175W
Source: RNAcentral
UAUAAGCUUAACAGGAAAGAAAAGAAUAAAGACAUAUUCUCAAAGGCAUAUAGUUGGAGCAGCUCUAUUUAUACCCGUUCCUCCAUCUGUCAUCAUUACUUAAACGAUUCGUUAACAGAUGCUCAUUUAGUACCUCACAUAUUCUCCAUAUCUCAUCUUUCACACAAUCUCAUUAUCACUAUGAAGAUGUUCUUGUUUUUGAACGAAUCAUACAUCUUUGAUAGACUUCGUAUGUGGAGUAUUGUUUUAUGGCACUCAUGUGUAUUCGUAUGCGCAGAAUGUGAGAAUGCCAAUUAUAGGGGUGCCGAGGUGCCUUGA